Molecule: ribosomal RNA, 513 nt
Filed under: uncultured bacterium
Lineage: Bacteria
Description: partial 16S ribosomal RNA
Source: RNAcentral
GGAGUUAGCCGGUGCUUCUUCUGCGAGUAACGUCACAGAUGUAAGGUAUUAACUUACACCCUUUCCUCCUCGCUGAAAGUGCUUUACAACCCGAAGGCCUUCUUCACACACGCGGCAUGGCUGCAUCAGGGUUUCCCCCAUUGUGCAAUAUUCCCCACUGCUGCCUCCCGUAGGAGUCUGGGCCGUGUCUCAGUCCCAGUGUGGCUGAUCAUCCUCUCAGACCAGCUAGGGAUCGUCGCCUAGGUGAGCCUUUACCUCACCUACUAGCUAAUCCCACCUGGGCUUAUCCAUCAGCGCAAGGCCCGAAGGUCCCCUGCUUUCCCCCGUAGGGCGUAUGCGGUAUUAGCAGUCGUUUCCAACUGUUAUCCCCCACAAAUGGGCAAAUUCCCAGGCAUUACUCACCCGUCCGCCGCUCGUCAUCUUCAAAAGCAAGCUUUUGAAAUGUUACCGCUCGACUUGCAUGUGUUAGGCCUGCCGCCAGCGUUCAAUCUGAGCCAGAAUACAAACUACUGA